UACGUAGGUGGCAAGCGUUGUCCGGAUUUACUGGGCGUAAAGAGCGCGCAGGCGGUCGUUCAAGUCGCGUGUGAAGGCCCCCGGCUCAACUGGGGAGGGUCACGCGAUACUGAUCGACUCGAAGGCAGGAGAGGGAAGUGGAAUUCCCGGUGUAGUGGUGAAAUGCGUAGAUAUCGGGAGGAACACCAGUGGCGAAGGCGACUUCCUGGCCUGUUCUUGACGCUGAGGCGCGAAAGCUAGGGUAGCAAACGGG
This 253-nucleotide ribosomal RNA is filed under the name uncultured bacterium. RNAcentral describes it as "partial 16S ribosomal RNA". It matches the Rfam family "Bacterial small subunit ribosomal RNA", at positions 524 to 776 of the family's 1533-position model. The record is from RNAcentral.